RNAcentral lists this unclassified non-coding RNA (243 nucleotides) under plant metagenome. Its description in RNAcentral is "partial contains small subunit ribosomal RNA, internal transcribed spacer 1, and 5.8S ribosomal RNA". The record is from RNAcentral.
UCUCCGUUGGUGAACCAGCGGAGGGAUCAUUACAGGACUCGCAAGACUCCUACAACCCUGUGAACUUAACUAUAAGCACGUUGCUUCGGCGGGUGUCUCGGAGGGGGUUCUCCCUCCCCGAGACGCUAAACCCGCCGGCAGCCUACUAUACUCUGUCUCUUUGCGUUGGCAUCUCGAGUACAAUCAAACAAGUUAAAACUUUCAACAACGGAUCUCUUGGUUCUGGCAUGAGAAGAACGCAGC